GCCAUGAUAGUCUAGCGGUUAGGACCCCGCGUUGUGGCCGCGGUAACCCAGGUUCGAAUCCUGGUCAUGGCA
Molecule: transfer RNA, 72 nt
Organism: Folsomia candida
Lineage: Eukaryota; Metazoa; Arthropoda; Collembola; Entomobryomorpha; Isotomidae
Rfam family: tRNA
About the family: Transfer RNA (tRNA) molecules are approximately 80 nucleotides in length.
Source: Rfam